UAGCGCGAACCUGCGGAUAUGCAUAUCAAUAAGCGGAGGAAGAUUCUCCUAUCGGCGGGGGCCCAGCCGCUGGAACUUAACAAAACCUUUUUUGCAUCUAGCAUUACCUGUUCUGAUACAAACAAUCGUUACAACUUUCAACAAUGGAUCUCUUGGCUCUGGCAUCGAUGAAGAACGCAGCGAAAUGCGAUAAGUAGUGUGAAUUGCAGAAUUCAGUGAAUCAUCGAAUCUUUGAACGCACAUUGCGCCCCUUGGUAUUCCAUGGGGCAUGCCUGUUCGAGCGUCAUCUACACCCUCAAGCUCUGCUUGGUGUUGGGCGUCUGUCCCGCCUUCGCGCGCGGACUCGCCCCAAAUUCAUUGGCAGCGGUCCUUGCCUCCUCUCGCGCAGCACAAUUGCGUCUGCGGGGGGGCGUGGCCCGCGUCCACGAAGCAACAUUACCGUCUUUGACCUCGGAUCAGGUAGGGAUACCCGCUGAACUUAAGCAUAUC
This 489-nucleotide ribosomal RNA is filed under the name Paraphaeosphaeria sporulosa. Its description in RNAcentral is "eukaryotic LSU rRNA". The stretch from base 133 to 286 matches the Rfam family "5.8S ribosomal RNA". The record is from RNAcentral. Lineage: Eukaryota; Fungi; Ascomycota; Dothideomycetes; Pleosporales; Didymosphaeriaceae.